ACACGACUACAUUAGAUACCCGCGUAGUCCUAGCCGUAAACGAUACUCGCUGGGUGUCGGCCACGGUGCGACCGUUGUCGGUGCCGUAGGGAAGCCGUGAAGCGAGCCACCUGGGAAGUACGGCCGCAAGGCUAGAAACUUAAAGGAAUUGGCGGGGGAGCACCGCAACGGGAGGAGCGUGCGGUUCAAUUGGAUUCAACGCCGAAAACUCACCAGGAGCGACGGAUAUAUGAAGGUCAAGCUGAUGACUUACCUGAUUUCCG
Molecule: ribosomal RNA, 263 nt
Filed under: uncultured archaeon
Lineage: Archaea
Description: partial 16S ribosomal RNA
Rfam family: Archaeal small subunit ribosomal RNA
Source: RNAcentral